This 520-nucleotide ribosomal RNA is filed under the name uncultured bacterium. RNAcentral describes it as "bacterial SSU rRNA". It matches the Rfam family "Archaeal small subunit ribosomal RNA", at positions 345 to 866 of the family's 1478-position model. The record is from RNAcentral.
AACCUCCGCAAUGUGAGAAAUCGCGACGGGGGGAUCCCAAGUGCCAUUCUUAACGGGAUGGCUUUUCAUUAGUGUAAAGAGCUUUUGGAAUAAGGGCUGGGCAAGACCGGUGCCAGCCGCCGCGGUAACACCGGCAGCUCUAGUGGUAGCAGUUUUUAUUGGGCCUAAAGCGUCCGUAGCCGGUUUAAUAAGUCUCUGGUGAAAUCCUGUAGCUUAACUGUGGGAAUUGCUGGAGAUACUAUUAGACUUGAGACCGGGAGAGGUUAGAGGUACUCCCAGGGUAGAGGUGAAAUUCUGUAAUCCUGGGAGGACCGCCUGUUGCGAAGGCGUCUAACUGGAACGGUUCUGACGGUGAGGGACGAAAGUUAGGGGCGCGAACCGGAUUAGAUACCCGGGUAGUCCUAACUGUAAACGAUGCGGACUUGGUGUUGGGGUGGCUUUGAGCUGCUCCAGUGCCGAAGGGAAGCUGUUAAGUCCGCCGCUGGGAAGUACGGUCGCAAGACUGAAACUUAAAGGAAUU